AAUCUUCCACAAUGGGCGAAAGCCUGAUGUAGCAACGCCUCGUGAGUGAAGAAGGUCUUCGGAACGUAAAUCUCUGUUGUAAGGGAAGAACAAGUACAGUCGUAACGGGCUGUAUUCUGACGGUAGCGAAUUCGAAUGCUACGGCUAACUACGUGCCAGCAGCCGCGGUAAUACGUAGGUGGCAAGCGUUGUCCGGAAUUAUUGGGCGUAAAGCGCGCGCAGGCGGUCUUUUAAGUCUGAUGUGAAAGCCCACGGCUCAACCGUGGAGGGUCAUUGGAAACUGGGGAACUUGAGUGCAGAAGAGGAAAGUGGAAUUCCAAGUGUAGCGGUGAAAUGCGUAGAGAUUUGGAGGAACACCAGUGGCGAAGGCGACUUUCUGGUCUGUAACUGACGCUGAGGCGCGAAAGCGUGGGGAGCAAACAGG
This 424-nucleotide ribosomal RNA is filed under the name uncultured bacterium. RNAcentral describes it as "partial 16S ribosomal RNA". It matches the Rfam family "Bacterial small subunit ribosomal RNA", at positions 360 to 776 of the family's 1533-position model. The record is from RNAcentral.